UUUUUUUUUUUUUUUUUUUUGAUAUUUGUUUUGACUUGAAAAAUUAUUUUAUUGAAAAACUUCGUUCACCUUCUAGGCAGAAAACAAUAUUGGUGGCAACAAAUUUUGAAAAUUGUAACAAUAGCAAUAGAGUUUUGAGAAUUAUAACAAAGUUGUGUAAAUAAAAAAAUCGAAAAAUAAAAAUAAAAAAAGAAGCCAAAUAGCCUUUUUUUUUUUUUAUAUGCCACAUCAACAACAACAGAUGUAAUAAGUGAAAUUGUAUAAUUUUGUAUUGAAUAGAAAAUGCCACGUCAACAACAACAGAUGUAAUAAAUGAAACUGUUGUUAUGAAACAAUUAAAAGUAUGGAUGUCCCUUUGUAUUCCCAAGAAGAUUAAUUCUUGCUUAAUGGCUACAUUAUGUAUAGAAGUUACAAUCCAUAAAUCUAUUCAUGUAGUGGAAGAACCGUUUCAUAGGUUUCUUCAUAUUCUUGUAAUAGUGGGUGUUUAAUAGGAUUAAUGUUCCUUUAAUCUUGUAGUACCUAUAUAUAGAGGUACAUUGACACCCUUUGGUAGGACUUUUGUAUUAGUUGGAAUAAUAAAAUAACCACUCUUUAUUUCUCUACUUUUUUCUCUAAUAUCUCCAAUAUUUCACUUGAUAUUAUAGUGGUUUAUUUUAUUAGUUUUAUAACAACUGUAUAAUUUUGUAUUGAAUAGAAAAGUGGGUAGAAAAUAUUCGACAGAGGACACUUAGGAUCCUCGGUGACAUGUUUUCAACUUGCGCAACGGAUCUUCUGUACCACACCCUAUCUCACAUCCUGUCUCAUUCCUUAGAAUUUCGCCAAGUGUCCCUUAAUAAACCAAACCCUCAAACAGCCCAACUCGAACCAUAUUAAGUUAAUUAAUCGAUUAAUCGGGCGAAGAAACUUAAUCCCUUUAACCAUUAUAACCAAAACCAAGAAAAAUAAAAACUUUUUAAUCAAAAUCACAGUUUAUCAACGAAAAAAACCCUAAAAUAUUAAAAAAUCUCUGUCCUCUCUUCAUCAUCUUCACCGUACUCUUACGGUUGUUUCAGCCUCUGCUUCACUGACGACUCUUCUUCUUCCUCCUUCGGAUUCCUCAAAAUCCAUUUCCCUUUUCCCCCCUCCAACCCAUCGAUGGAAUUCCAACGGCUUUUUCAAAAUUGUCACCUGCGCUCCGCCGAAGCAUGGCAUUCACUCCACUGAAGCAAUUGAAACUAGUAUCGGGUAUCAAGAUGCUAUCUUUAUCUUUUGCCUUUCUAGAAAAUCCAGAUUGCUUUUUAGUGCCUAUUGGACGAGUUUAUUGCGGUUUCAUUUUUUGUUCUCUCGGUUGCGGUUUUUUUUUUAUUUGUGUUGCUUUUUUUUCUUUCUAGCUACGCAGGCCAAUUUGAUGUAAUUUGCUUAGCUUAGGCACUUGAUCUAGUUUUCAACUUCAAAUUGGUAUAGAUACACACAGUUGAAUUAGUUUUGCUAUAUCCUCAACUGCAUGUGUGUAGUAGUAAUAAAUUGGUUAUAUUCUCUAGUGUCUCUGUUUUAGCGUUUUGGAACUUAGGUGUAGAUGAUGAAACUAGAGGGUAACAAGUUUGCCUUUAUCUUUUGCUGAUUAAGGGAAUUUUUCUUCUAAUUUGCAGCUUCCACUUCAAAUGUUUCAUCUGUUAAAUUUUCUGAAAAUUCGGUAUGUACUGGACGAAGCUCACCAGCUGUUCGAUCAAAUGCCUAAGAGGAAGAUGAAUCAAACUAUAAGGUAAAAGUCUGACUUGGUUGAGACUUGAGCCCAUAUUUAUUAGGAGGGUGUUUUGCGUUUUAUACGUUUGAUUUUGUUUAUUAGGACUACCUGUAGGCUUGUAAUUAGUAGUUAGAAAAUAUGUUAAAGUUUGCAUGAUGGUUACCUUUUUGUGCUGGCACAUGCGAUCCUUGUCUCCCUUCUACUCUUUCGUGUCGCAAUUUUAUUUGAUGCAUUUGAUAAUUAGUCCAUGAGUUGAAAUUUUUAUCAAAUGCUGAUUCAUAAUCUUAGAUUAGUCGUAGUAUUAUUGAUCAACAAUGAAUGGAUGGUCUUUGAUUCAUAAUCUUGAUUAGUCGUAGUAGUAUUAUUGGUCAACCUGCUGGUUUCAUUUGGGAAAUCUAUCUCUGUCUUUGGCAGAUGAGAUCAUCUAAAACCUGAUAAGGCCUAAAGGUAAGUGCUUCUAAAAAAAAAGCUCUUUUUUUUAUUCUGUAACUAUGAAUUAAAGCCAAGAAACAUGUGUGAUCACUGUUUUCUCAAAUGGUUUUCUGGUUUUGGUCUAUAUGGAUAGAGGUGCCAUCUUGACAUGCAUUAGUGUGACUAGUUACAGGGUUUAUGUAUUCAUUCACUUCAUUGUUACUGUUUACAAAGUUCAAUGUUUAUGAAAAUUAUGUAACUUAGAUAAUUGUAAUCUCUUAUUUGCAGAAUGUUAUGCAUAAUGAAGCUUCAAUCAUGUAAAGCUUGUAACUUUUUCCCUAAUACUGCAGGGGUAUCUGAUAUGAUGAUAGGUUUUUGCAGUCAACUGGAACUGAUUCGUGUUACUGCAUCUGAGACUAUGGAAGCCUAUAUCAUUCUGUGCAACCUUGAUGAUGGACAAGAAGAGCAGGAGAGGAAAAGGUUCUUGCGUGGAGGAGGAGGAGUGGGGUAAGGCAGAGCCAUCAACUCUCAAGAAUUCGCCGGAGAACAAACUAAGGGAGGCUCUCGAGGAGGCUUCUGAAGAUGGGUCACUUCGUAAAAACACAUGAAAUUCACUCUGAGUCUUUGAAUCAAGAUGGCUGCUUGGGAAGGUCAAUAUCUCUUGCAAGGCUUAAUGCCCAGAAGGAAUUCUUGAGGGCAACUACUCUUUUGUCUGAAAGGACAUUUUGCAUUGAAGAAUCCAUUCCUGGCUUUAAUGAAGCCUUCUUGUUGGUUCUUGACUUUGUACCCAAAGUUCCAAUGUUGAGAAACAAUUGACCAUUUGAGAAUUGACUUUGUACGGGUUGUUUUUUUGUUUUCAAACGCUACAGUAUUGGGAUUCAUCUAUAUUUAGCUUAAAGGAAAUUACUGCAAAUUUGAGCAAUCAUGUACUUCAUUGGUGUGCAGAGGAAGGUACUGUGGAGCAUGAUAUUAAAACCAAAAUUAUGGAUUACUUGAACAUUCUUGAGAAUGAGUUUGUACUUGUUUUUACUAUUAGUAGAGGAUCUGCAUUUAAAUUGUUGCUGAAUCUUAUCCUUCCCAUUCGAACAAGAGGCUGUUGAAUAUGUUUGACCAUGGGAGCCAGACUGUGAGUUGGAUGGCUCAAUGUGCUAAAGAGAAGGGUGCAAAGGUGUACAGGGCCUAGUUUAUGGACAUAUUUUGGGAAUUUCAGCAUUGUUAUAUGGAUUAUAUAUACAAUUUGGUGUCAACAGUCAAAUACGAGAUUGGUCCCGAGUUGUUUAGAAUCAGAGAACAAGUUUUCGGAGUACCUUUAACAUGAAUGACACAAAAAAUGAGUUAAAAAAAAAGGAUGGAGAGAGAGCAGAGGUCUCUCGUUCGGGUCCAAUAUUAUACCAUGCAUCAGUUUCAGAUAAUUCUGGUCAAUUACCCACUAAAUAAAACUCAAACAAAGAAAAUUAUUCCUAGCAGAAAAGGCCACUCAAAAUCAAAAUCUGAUCAGUCAUAUUCUCACCCUUGCCAUCCCUGUAUGUAGUGAGUUGUGAAACUUAGCAUCUAAUUAGUCUCUUCCAUCAGUGAAACCUCAUCAACCUGGUACGAAAUUCAUGGCCAAAUAAAUCCUGGGAGUGUCCCUAUAGAUUUUUAUAAAUGGAAACAAACUACGUGCAAUUUCACAGACGAAAGGUAGCCCAGGCAUUAGGAUCCUUGUAUUCACAAUGCAAUGUAAACAGACCACGAAGUCUAAAAAGCAAAACAUUAAUCAACUUAAAUCAAUUGAGAUUUCAACUGCGCAAAGUGGAAUAAGGCUGCAUUCUGGUUCUUAUUAAAGUUCAAAAUGUAUGUUAUUCGAAUUAAGCUACAAUCCUACCAUGUAAAAUCUCAGAGAUAAAAAGAUCCAAUUCCAGCUAUCAAGCUCAAGAAUAACCAAGCUGAUCAUCCACCAUAAUCAAAAGAACUACACAAAUAAGGUCUAAUUAAUCCAUGAGCGCAAUCCCACAGUCUUGUCCUCCAUUUCUUCAUAAGCAUCUUCAUUCAAUUUUCCCAUUUUCAACAACUUGUUGAUCAGAAUCAUCAUUAUUUUCAAGUUCUUGCGCCUAUAAAAACAGACCCAAAGUUAGCCAAUAUAUUGAAUUAUAAUUGUAAAUUAUCAAACUAAUAUAUAUAAGAUUAAAUAAUUAAUCAAGGUUUUUCCUUACUUGGACAAAACUUAUUGAUGCAUGCUGUUGUGCUAUUGAACUUGAAGACAUCAAAUCAUAGCCUUGGUAGAAGUUAGGGUCCAACGUCUGUCAGAAAAAUAAGAAAUAAAAGACCACACAUACAAACAAAAGAUAAAGGCAAACUUGUUACCCUCUAGUUUCAUCAUCUACACCUAAGUUCCAAAACACUAAAACAGAGACACUAGAGAAUAUAACCAAUUUCUUACUACUACACACAUGCAGUUGAGGAUAUAGCAAAACUAAUUCAAAUGUGUGUAUCUAUACCAAUUUGAAGUUGAAAACUAGAUCAAGUGCCUAAGCUAAGCAAAUUACAUCAAAUUGGCCUGCGUAGCUAGAAAGAAAAAAAAGCAACACAAAUAAAAAAAAAAAAUCGCAACCGAGAGAACAAAAAAUGAAACCGCAAUAAACUCGUCCAAUAGGCACUAAAAAGCAAUCUGGAUUUUCUAGAAAGGCAAAAGAUAAAGAUAGCAUCUUGAUACCCGAUACUAGUUUCAAUUGCUUCAGUGGAGUGAAUGCCAUGCUUCGGCGGAGCGCAGGUGACAAUUUUGAAAAAGUCGUUGGAAUUCCAUCGAUGGGUUGGAGGGGGGAAAAGGGAAAUGGAUUUUGAGGAAUCCGAAGGAGGAAGAAGAAGAGUCGUCAGUGAAGCAGAGGCUGAAACAACCGUAAGAGUACGGUGAAGAUGAUGAAGAGAGGACAGAGGUUUUUUAAUAUUUUAGGGUUUUUUUCGUUGAUAAACUGUGAUUUUGAUUAAAGAGUUUUUAUUUUUCUUGGUUUUGGUUAUAAUGGUUAAAGGGAUUAAGUUUCUUCGCCCGGUUAAUCGAUUAAUUAACUUAAUAUGGUUCGAGUUGGGUUGUUUGAGGGUUUGGUUUAUUAAGGGACACUUGACGAGAUUCUAAAGAAUGGGACAGGAUGUGAGACAGGGUGUGGUACAAAAGAUCCGUUGCGUUCAACUUGGCUUGAUUUAAUACAAGUUUAAAUAAUAACAUAACACUUUGCGCAAUACUAUUGAUGGCAUUGGAUUGGCAUAGAAAACAUGUCACUGAGGAUCUCAAGUGGCCAGAAGAUCCUCUGAAAACUCCAGGCUCUGCCUCUCCUCUUUGAUAUAAAUAUGAACCUCCUUCGUCGGCUUCGUCGUCGAUAAGAAUUGAUCGAAGCUCUCAGUACAAUCAGCUCUCUUCUUCAAAAGCCGUGAUACAUAAAAAAACAGCAGCAUUGUCAUCAAUUUUCCUCAAAAACAUCCGAAAUGUCGCUCAUUCGAAGCCUCUUCGGUGGCCGACGGGGCAACGUGUUCGACCCAUAUUCCCUGGACGUUUGGGAUCCCUUCGUAGGCUUGGCUUUCACAGACGCUAGUCUGGCCAACGUCCCAAAUACAGCAAGCGAGACAUAUGCAUUUGCUAGGCCCCGCAUUGAUUGGAAAGAGACCCCGGAAGCUCACGUCUACAAAGCCGAUCUUUCGGGGCUGAGGAAGGAGGAAGUGAAGGUGGAAGUUGAGGAAUGCCGGGUGUUGCAGAUUAGCGGAGAGAGGAGGCGGGAGCAAGAGGAGAAGAAUGACAAGUGGCAGAUGGUAGAGAGGAGGAGCGGGAGAUUCGGGCGCAGGUUCAGGCUGCCGGAGAAUGCCAAGGCGGAUCAGGUGAGGGCUAGCAUGGAGAAUGGUGUGCUCACCGUCACUGUGCCGAAAGAGGAAGCGAAGAAGCCUGAGGUCAAGGCCAUUGAGAUCUCUGGCUAAAUGCUUUUAGAUGGCUAAGCCUAGUGGAAGUUUGUCUUUGUCUUGAAAUGGUUGAGAUGUCUCCGUCUGCCUGCAUGACUGUGGUUGCUGCAUGGAUGAUGAUGAAUUUUGUUUAAUGAGUCGCGAGUGAGUAGGCUUUGGUUUGUUUUGAAAUGAAGCAUCGAUAAAUACUCAAUUCUUGCCACCGUCUUCUAAUGAGUAGGCUAAAUGAACUCAACUUGGAAUGGAUUCUACCUGCAGCCAAAAGAAUGGAGUGAUUGUGAUGCUGAAUUAGGAAUUUAAAGGAGGUUCUUGACAUUUUAAACCUUCUUCUCAAGAUCUGCAAGUGUUUGUAGCAGCGAUUGAUUUCAGAAUUUUCACAACACAGAAACAAUUCACUGGAUGAAUUACGGCUUCCUCCUAGCCAAGACCUUGUCAUCGUAGAUUGCGUGAAUUGCUUUCCUCCGUAAACAGUCAAUUCGAGAAUCAGACUGAACGCUCAAACCCAUAUUUUCUCUAGUAUCCAACGGUAAUUUGAUGCUCUGUUCUCGGCGAGUUCAUUUAGCUGCCAGCCAAUUGGCUAAUCUCUUUCACCUGCUUCUUUAGAGCAUGAAUGACGGUAUUAUAGCAGAAUAAAUCAAUUGUGGGUGAAAGACAUUCAGGGCGCCGUAAGUACAUUUGCUGAUUACCCCGCCAUCAAUCAUUCUGUUUCUUCUUCACAUCCCGUCUUGUCAAUCAAUAGCAGGCUAGAGAUGCAAAUACACUCUCCCUCUUUUACGCCAACUCCAAAUUUUACUAGUGGAAAGUCUUACUACCAGAAUAUGCUGUCAAAACUAUCGUAAACAGUUUUGUCAAUGGCCACACAAGUUUUAUUCAUCUUUCGGCCGGUAUAAAUCCAAAGUCCAAAACCCAACAUCAAAAUCAAAAUUUAAAAAAAAAAAUAAUAAUCAAUUAUUAACAAAUUAGACGAUCCAAUUUGCUAGCUAGUUACUGCGUUGUAACAUUAUCCAGUUUCCAAAGAUACCUGAAACUUAGAUGCAAAGUCACUAAUCUCACAAGAAACUAGUCCAAAAAAGGGAGAAUGUGAUACUACCAAAUUAUAACCCGUAGUUCGAGUCAUUCUCUGAUUGCCAUUAGACAGUAAUAGAUACACCACCGCUUCCCCUAGCACUAACAGAAGCGAACGCAUCCACAUCCAUUCCACUGACGGAAUUCGCCAAUUGGACCCUAAAAACUUACUACUAUGGACAUAAGCACUAGUACGACGGGAAAAAAAUGAAAAGAAAGAAAGACAAGGACGCAGACAUAACAGAAACGACGACUCGGAAAUCAGCCAGAAAUUUCAAUGGACUUGACAUCAGGCUUCCUGAUUUCUGCUUUAGGGACAGUGACGGUCAGAACCCCAUUCUCCAUCGAUGCCUUGACUUGUUCCACUUUAGCAUUUUCAGGGAGCCUGAACCUCCUCAUGAAUUUCCCGCUGCUCCUCUCCACCUUGUGCCACGUGUGGCCCUUGUCCUCGAUUUCCCUCUUCCUCUCCCCACUGAUCUGCAAGAUCCUCUCGUCCUCCACCUCCACCUUGACCUCCUCCUUCCUCAGCCCCGGCACGUCCGCCUUGAACACGUGGGCAUUUGGGGUCUCUUUCCAGUCGAUGCUGGCGUGGGCAAACGAGGCAGUCUCAGAUGAGGAGGACGGAAAGGUGGUGCGGAGCUGACCGGAGAAUGGGCUAAAGUCGGAGUUGAAAGGCCAGCCCUGAAAUGGGUCCCAAAUUUCAUCGGGAGUACUGGAUCGGCGGCCGAAGAAGCUUGGAACCAUCGACAUUUUUUUCCUCUCACUCUUAGGAGUGUUUACGGGUUGUUCUCUUAGCGAAAUCUGCAGUGCAAAAUCAACGGGUUGAUCGAGAAGGUAAUUGGCGGACCUGGCCACUAUUUACAUGGUGUUUUGGAUAAAAUUUGUGCGAGUUGCAGAACGUUCUCGAACAAGUUGUCUCGCAUCUUUUCAUUUGCCCUUUUUCAUUAUCGGUUUAAUUGCUAAUAGUAUUUUUUUUUUUUUUGGCCGACAUUACUCGUGUGCCCAUUAAAAAAUGUCUAUGGUUCAAGUAAAUAGGGUAGUAUUUUCAAUUUUGAGGGGAGAGCAUAAAAAAUUUGGAAUUUUCUGGUACCUAAUGAAUUUGUCACACUAAACUUUUUCUGAAAAUCGGAUUUUCACUUUCUAAUGCACAGUAAUUAGGGGUUCGACUUUCGUCAUAUUUCGCAUUGAUGUCGCCAAAGUGGUGCCCCACCGACUAAUACUAAAAUAGUUUAGAUAUCUACAUUGUUAAAAAAUAAUAAAAAUAAAUAAAUCUGGCAAAUAUUUUGUUAAAGAAAAUACCAAAUUCGUUUCACUUAGCUCGUAAACAUUGACCUAUCAAUCAAAUUGGGGUGCAAGUUAAAACAAACGCACAUUGAUUACUUUCUAGCAGUAGAGCAAUAGAUUUUUAACGCACAUUUUUUUUGUUAGUGUGAUAAGACUCCCUCCAUUUAGUGUAACUCUUUCAUAUUCAUGUUCUAUAUUCGGGUGUAUCAGCGCUAUCGAAUAUUCUAAUGAUUAAGUGAUAAAAAUAAAAUAAAGGAAGCCCAAAUAAUCGAGUUACCAUGCUGGUGCCCGAGAAGCAUUGAAUUAUCUCAAAGAUAUAUAUAUAUAUAUAUAUAGAUGAAACAACUUUAGAAAAAAAAAUACUUGUGAUGUUCAAUCCUUGAAUUCUAAAUCAUCUAGGAUUGAUGCUGGACUGAGUAGUUUGACCGAGCUCGCAAACUAUUUGGUCAGCAGCUCGCCUCGAGCUCGCUUUGAUCAAACUUGAGCUCGAGCUCGAACUGCUUGAUAGAAGCAAUGAGUCAAGCUCGAGUUUUAACGUUUUGCAUUCGGAAAUUCGACGAGCCUAAUUGACCUUCUUAUAAUAUAUAUUUUAAUUUUUAUUAUUGUAAAAUAUCAAUAAUAUCCUUUAUUAAAAAUUAUAUAUAAAAUAUUAAUUUUUAUUACGUGAGUUUGAUUAGGAUUGAUUGAGCUCGAAUAUGCUUGAUUGAACUUGAUUUGAAUUGAUUACAUUUAAUUAAACUCGAACUCGAGUAACGUAAAUUGAUGUCGAGUUCGAACUCGAGGUCGAAUUCUAAAAGUUCGAUGAACUCGAGUUAGAUCUCGAGUUUAGUUAUUUUACCUCGAGCACUGCUCAAGCUCGACUCGACUCGAACGCAUCCUAGACACAUCUAUAAUAAUGUCAUACAGUGUCCUGUACCGUGGUUCUGUAUGUACAAAAAUAACCACAGGCUAAAUUUACAAUUCCUCGUCGUCAUCUUCGAUUGUUUCUAGAUCAUCCUCAUCGAUGGCCGCAACUUUUGCAGCACUCUUUGCUGCUGCACUGACUCUAGAAGAAGCAUUUGGUCGAACCUUGAAGGGCGAUUUUGCAUUUCGUGAUACCCUGCUGCUAGGAACAAUGCCACAGCCUUCAUCUUCUUUCUUCAAGUCGGCUGGAGGCAGAAAGCAAUCAAUGCUGAGUCCCUUUAUGUUGAAAUCAACUUCUUCAAUCGUCCAAACCUCUUCCAUCCGCGUCCGGGUGCGGCUUUCAGAGUUUUCUCCGAACCUCAACAGCGAUACGCAUGUUCUUCCAGCAUGGGCUACAUUAACACCAUCAAUAGUCCGAUAAUCUUGUAUCGUGGAUUCCAUUGUUGUCUCCCAUAAAACGUCGUUUCCAGGGGCCUUUAUUCUCAGGAGAUGAGAGUCUUCCAGCUGGAGUAGCAGGCCUGUUCUUUGGCUGAAGUAGCCCCAAACACUAUGUCUGAUUAUUUCCACAUUGCUGCUGCUUCUGGCUCUGAGUGUUGAAGGAUCUGCCUCGAGUUUUAGUACAAAGCAAUCCUCAUCAUAGACAGUCUUCUCACCAGUGCAGAUGGAAUUGGAGAAUAAGUUGGCCGUGGACCUUGGAUCAAGACCCUGUUGGAGGAUGAUUCAAUAGAAUCGAUUAGCUCAAUUUCUUCAAUAGUAAUAAACCCACAGCAUAGUUUAUCUUCAAUAGUAAUUAUAUCUUGAAAAUUAGCUUAAUUUUCAAGAGAUUCCAUCCAGCACCAAGAAAAACAAUUAAGUCAAAUGGAUUUGCCAGCUUAAGACAGUGCAAGAUCCACGAAAUGGGCCUGAACCAGUGAAGUCCUCCGCCUGAUUAGCUAAUUGCAUUUCCGCAGGGGGAGGACCACUUGAUCCAAUUUGAUGUGCACCAAUUAAUUGACGCUUUACCAGACCGUGUAAAUGCAAUUCUUACAACUUUUGCUUGGACCAAAUGAAGGAGCUUUCAUACCGGCAUAAAAUGGGCAUAGACCAAUUGAUGACGAUGAUUGUACUCCAACGGAAAGCGGAAAGAAUUAUUUUAAGCUAGUCCAACUUGGAAUUGGGUCCACUAGAAGAUAGACUUGGAAAAGAUUGGAAUUGAACUGGUUUAUUGGGUGGUUAAGAACGUGGAUGGUGGAACUCAAACCGAUAGACUUGGAGCCGGACCUUUUUAAAGUCCUCAUUAAAGUCAGCAUCCAAUUGGAUUUUGUUGUAGGUUCCAGUUUUCCAGAUAGAUGAAAGCGAUGCUGCGCCUUCCUCCUCUGAAGAUAACAAAAAAACGGAGGAACUGUCCAUUUUGAGAAAAAAUUUUCAAACAUCCAAUGCAUAUUUUCCCGUUCACACCUACCUUUUGUUAGGUUCAUUCCUCGUCCAAGGACAUGAUACUCAGCUGUAAGCGUGAAGAAAACCUCACUUCUUGAACUAGUUUUUAGGGGUGGAGAAUUCAACAGCACUCAAUAUUAUUAUCGAGUUCCGUCACAACUAACUCCUCUCGAUAAAGAUUUGAGAAUGAAGAUAUGAUCCAACCUAAGGUCGAUGUGUGAGACAGAAAUUGUUAGGUUUAUCUCACACUGGUUUGGUUGCAGUAAGAGGGUCCAAUAGUACCCAACAAUUUUGAUGAAGAGUGACCUCAAUUUCGUUGUUCAAGACAAAGGAGUGACCUACUCCUCAAUCUUGCCGGUUGGUUCAAUUCUUGCUACUCAAAUAAUUACUUGCUCUUAUGCAAUUAAGUGCAAUUAAGCAACUAUCAAAUUACAAGCGAAUUUGUUAAAGACAAUUAAGAAAACAAAAUUUGGAAAGGUGACACGUAAAAUUAAAAGAGGACAAGAAAAGUAAAAAACACUACUAAAAGUACCUGCAAGGAACGACGGAGAGGCCUGGGUGGACCGCGAGAUGCAUGGGAAUGAUGCCAUGGGGUCUGCCUCCAAGCCACCUUGCCAUCACUACCAGCACUGAUCUUACAACCAGACACCACUAAUUCCAGGCUCCAUAAAUCGGGCCUUUUCUGCCACAACACAAAUCCUCCCACUUCCCCUGGUCCACCUUUCGUGCUCUUGAGCUUCGAAGCCUUACCGUUGCUCGUGUUGUUACAGCUCAUACUCAGACCUUCCCCGGCAACAACUUCUGUUGUGGCCAGCUUGACUUUUCCCAUCGCGUACAUGCUAUGGAUUGAGUUUAAAGCAUUUUCUCCUCCCGCAGCUGCUAUGUACUGCUGCACUAUGUAUUUAGCCAUUGAAGUCUCCUGCAAGGAUUAACAGAAUUAUAAGUCUCGUGAUACGUGACAAGGAAUCGGUACUGAGUGAUGGAGAAGUUAUCGCUGAUUCUAAUUCUGACUCUGGUAGAAAACCAAACGCAGGUUUAGUGGUAGUAAAAGGACUUACAAUGGGGUGGUUUUUGAUGCUUUUGCUAAAAGAAUAGCGAUCAGAGCAGAUGGGCAGGGGGACUAAAGGAGCGCCAACGACACCGAGCAGGAGCUGAAUCUCCGUGUUUCGGCCACCAAAGAGGGAAACAGGUGACCUUUCAGUAUGGGACUUCAUCCAGGAUUUCACGUUUUGCCAGGACCUGUUCUUGGUGGAAGCAAAAAUCUCUUCCGGGAUGGGAACUUCAAGCACUGUUUCCAGUGCAUCUUCUCUAUCCAAGUUGGGGCACAGCGUCCUCAUGUCCAAUUGUGUAUGGGAAGCAAAUUAAGAAAGAGUAAGAUGUGAAGAGGAGUCUGGAACGAACAGGUUGGGAAGUUAAAUGGGGUCUUUCUCUCUGUUUUUUUUUUCUUGCGUUUGGUACUGGGAGAAAUGGGAAGAAGGAAGGAAGUAAAGAGGGAAGAAAUGUUGUCUUUGAUUGAAAGGGAGGGUACGUAUGGGGGGAUUUUUUGGGGGGGGGGGGUGGCAGCUGUUGAAUACUACUAAGUACUGAAUAGAGUAGCAAAGGACGACCAACCGACCGUGGGCCGCCUCCAAUCCAACCAACGUGCUGCUAGUAUUUGUCAGCGUCGUGACCGCACGCUCACACACACAUUCGCAUCUCUUUUUCUUCCCCACUGAAACUCAAACAAUCUUUUACUGUUUGGGGUAAUUCAUUGAGAUUAACUUUUUCUGUGGAAUCCAGAAGGGGAAAUUGGCGACAUGUAUUUUGAUUGAUUUUAAUGUCUUGAUAAAGACACAGUAGUGUGUGAUAUGAUAUCUCUCGCUGCAGAAUUGGCUAUAUGGAUAAUAGACUUCCGGUUGCCCUGACAUCUUCAACUAACUCCCUUUUUUUUUUUUUUCUUUUUGGACAACCUGGACACAUUUCCACUCGGUUAUGGUUUUCAAUUUUUCAACGUACACAUAAUUCUUUUUUGAUAUUUGUUUUGACUUGUAAUUUUUUUUUUUUUUUUUUUUUGAUAUUUGUUUUGACUUGUAAUUAGUUGUGUGUUUUUGCCUGAUGCAAAGGAUUGAUUAGGGGAUGGAUAUAUGGUUUGCCAACUGAAUCAGUUUUAAUUAGGUCGUAUGCCCAGCACAGAGCAUCAAGAAACGGAUAGGUAAUACAACAAAACAUCUCUGGACAUGCAUUAAGAAUAAAUUUUGUCGGCCGGAACCAUCGCAAUGCAUAUGCAUGCGACCGACCACUACUUGUAUGGUAUGCUGUUGGAUCAUAUCAUAGAAAUUGCCGCAUACACUCAAUCCAAUAUUCCAAUCAGCUUUUGCUGGAAUUAAUUGUGCAUCUGCAGGCAUAUUCAUGUCUGAUUCCUAAUUCUUGUAUCGUAGGUUAUAAAGUCGGAUGCAACUUGUUUCUUUCGUCGUGACACGUAUGCUGCUGGGCGUCUUUCGAAAGUUGCUUCAAAUUAAAAAGUCUUCAAUCAUGCCACGCACGUUUCAUCCCACAUUGGUUCUGGGGGGUUGGGUUUGGGUUUAUAAGCCCUGGAAAGAUCCAAAAAGUUGCCGAUCUUUUAAAUUUCUUCUGAAAUCUAGGUUUAUAGAAGCCGAAUCUCUAACUUCCGCUAGAAAAGGUCAAGAGAUGCCACGCACGUUUCAUCAUCAUAAAAAUCCAAAACAUCCUCCAUUGAGCCAUUAGCUUUUGUCAAUGGAAUGGUUGUUAAUACGUGAUCCAUCAUCAGAAUAUCAUGAAGUCAAUUGACCACUGAUCAAGCUUAAUUAAUCUUCCAUUGAGCCAUUGUUUUCCUAAUAGUAGAGCCUGUUCUGUUGAGGCGGAUCCUGUGUUCAAUGAAAAAAAAAUGAAUUGGGUAUGCUUCCAAAAAAAAAAAAAACGAAUUGAAUUGGGAAUCACGCAGACGUCAACAUCAAGCUGUGACUUGUACACUAUCGAGAAUUAUGCGUGGUAUGUCUUGUGGAUUGGGCGACUGAUGAAUCAGAUACUGUAUAUAUCUACGGGAUCAAGCUGUGACCUGCACACUACUGAGAAUUCCUCCUUCGUCAUUCAACAAUUUUCAUUUUGUUUUCAAUGAUUUGAUGUUAUGCCAAGAGCCAUAACUCUGUGACUCCUUUUCGGUGGCUGGCCUAUUCCUGUCAAAAUUGCAAAUUUUAUUGUAACUUGGCAGGCAAGCAAAGCAAGUACAGUACAAGAGCAGCAAUAGGUAGCCUCUUGUAAUAAAUUAGGAUUUUUCCUUCCCCAAGCCUUCGCACACUCUUGCGUACAAGUAUUUUUUAUUUUCAAUUUUUAUAAUUACAAGUAGCUCACCAAAAAAAAAAAGAAAAGAAAAGAAUUCUCUUACCCCUCUCUUGCUUCCUAAGUCCCACCCUCACUUGUUUAAAGUUUUUUUUUUUUUAAAAAAAAAAGUAACUCACAAAAGAAUAACUUAGCUCAUGAAUAACAAACGUGGCAGCAAGUUCUUGUAAUAUAUGCAUGAGUAACUUAGCUCAUACGCAGUAUAAAAGCAUAUUUAUGCGUAAAUUUUUUUUUUUAAAAAAACAACCAGAAAAUGCGGUAACAAGAACAAAUUCAAUUUCAACUAUACUUUUGGGACAGAUAACUUAUAGCUGAAUAGAAAAUGGUAGGCAGGACGUGAAUCCUUAGUCAUUAGUGGACAAUAAAGCCAGUUACAUUAGUCAUUAGUGGACAAUAAAAGCCAAGUACCUGCUUUCGGACUCUGGAUUAGUAACAUUAAUUCACUAUUUAGUGGGUAGGGUUUAGGUUACUACUUUUGAUAGCCAUGACUCCACUCACUUUUCCUUCCUUUGAAAAAGGAAUUGAUCAUAACGUAGCAAAUAGGGAUCCCCCACCCCCCCCCCCCCCACCAACUUAGCCAAAUUAGUCAAAAUUAAGUUCAACGAUAUCACACAAAGGAAAGAAUAUCACUUCUAUUGCAAUAAAUAAUUUGCCAUUCCAUUCUAGCAAUCAAGCGGUAAGAUUUACUAAAUCUUUAAUUGGAAUAAAAGGUGUUGAUUUAAUGCAUUUAUUAUGUUCUAAAGCAAAAUCCCAUUUCUUUAGCAGUAUCAUCUUCUUCUUCUUCUUUUUUUUUUUUUUGGGUAGAUGUUAAUACUAGUUGCUUAAUUAUGAGAUUUGGAAACACAUCUAUGCUGCAUUCCCAACAAAAUAACAAUAAGGAUAGUGAAUUUAUUCAAAAUGCUGGUUACCUCACAAAGAUUUUUCCAAUAGCUAUUCUUUUUUUUUUUUUAAUCAAUUGUCUGACCUCUAGAUUAGUAUACUUCAAUUUAUUCUAUGAAUAUAUACAAUCAUAAUUAUUGUAUUCAGAAAACUUUCCAAAUAACACCAACCGAUGUAAUAAAUAGGCACUCGGAUAUAGUAGCAGAGGGGGAGGCACCAAAUCCAGUCAAGGGCAUUCCCGUUGCGUGUUAUGUGAAUCUAAUCUAAUUUAAAAUCGCAACAUUUCCGCAAUAUACGGCGGGAAAUAUGAAUUGAACUUCCCUGACCCGCCCCAUCGGACCGGAUCUUCUGCUCAAUUCAAUUCAGGCAUGAACUUUUGUGAUCAUGAGGCCCAAUCACGGGCAAUCUGCGUUCAUACGAGAAAAGGCAACAAUAUAAUGCAUCAUCCGGAAGCUCGUCGGAUCCGUUUCUCUUGACCUCAGGUUGCGGUAGUUAAAUACUGCUGAAUAGUACGUGCAGAAAGAAUCAUCUUUUUGUUGCUUUCUUCUUUUUUUUUUUUUUUUUCUUUUUUGGUUGAUGCUAAUGGAAUUUAAAUCUUUCACACGGCAAUGAAGUUUUUCACACGUACAGGAAUCGAUUACUAUCCCGCGUAUAUUGAAUUUUAGUUUACGCCGGAAUUGGCUGAUCACUUUCCUUAAAAAAAUUCGAUAUUAAAAAAGUCAAACGUCUGCGAACCUGUAAAGUAAAGAUCAAGACAGAUUUUGUCUGUAGUUAGGAAUUAAGAACACCUCCAAUUUUUCCUCCUCAUAGAUAGUAAUCUCUGCAUUUGACUAUGAUUUUUUUUUUUUUGCUCUGUCUAACGGAUAUUAUUAAGAUGUAUUUUAGGUGUUAAAUUUUUAGAAAUAUAAUAUUAAUUAAGAAAAGCGUAUAAAUGAAAUGUAAGGGAAUUAAUUAUAUAAAGCGUAUAAAUACAAGGAAAACUAAUAGUAAUUAUUACUAUAUAUAUAUGAUAGGUUGGAUAAAAUAUAAGUGUCUUAACAAGUGUCUAUUGAGCAUCCGUUAAAAACUCCCUUGUUAUUGGGUAUUCGUCAUGACUAUUUAACUGCACCAUUGUACCACGUCGGAACCUUCGAUCUAUGCCAACAGUUGCUUGCUCUAAUGAAGAGACAAAUGUUUUGAGAGAUCAGUUAAAUUGGACUCAACUUGAUAAGCAUUCGUAGCCAAUAGACUUCUGAAUCUGAUUUUGAGCAUAGGCGCCAAGGAAUAGGCGAAGCUGACGACACCAUUGACUAAAUAGCAUUAUAUGGAUUGUAAUUGCAAGUUUUAGAUGUUAAAUUUACCGAGAAAGGAUUGUAAUGGCAAGUUUUGAGCUUUUUUACAUCCACGCACACAACCAUUGCCCAUUUGCUGUCCAUGGGUACCAAGUACAAACUCAAGUGAAUUGUACGUAUAACUUGAACUCUAAGCUAUCUUAGUUGCCUGCUCAAUUUUAACACCAGAGUCCAGAAGCCCCAAAAAAAAAAAAAGAGUUAAAUGCAAAAAACCUUUUUGUAGUUAGGUGAUUGUACAAGUUAACUCCCCAUCUUUUGAAAAUCUACAAUUAAACCCCUAUAAUUUGCAUCAAAGUGAAACCGUUGGUUUUUUCCGUUAAAUUUAAUAGUCAAAUUAUUGCAACGAAACAAUGAUGAAAUUAUUACAAAUUUAAAUUUAGAAUUAUGUGUCAUGUAUUUGAUGAUAAAAAUGUAUAUACUAUUAGUGUAUAAAAGAUUAAUCCUAUAUGUUUUAUUGUAUAAUAAUCAAAUAAUUUUAACCUGUUGGCUGUCAAAUCUAACAAGAAAACUAGCCGUUUCACUUUCAUUCAAACCAUAGGGAUUAAAUUGUAAGUUUUCAAACUAUAAAGGGUUAACACGUGCGAUUGGCUAAACUAGAAGGGAGUUUUUUGUAUUUAACCGGAAAAAAAAAAAAAAAAAAAAAGAGGAUGAUAAGAAGGGACCAAUUUUCUACCUCAUAUCCAUCCACGGGAUCGAAAAUAUAUUCAGUUUGGAUUCUAUUUGGUCGAACCAGCCACAAAAUCUUUGAAUCAGUAGAAAAUGUCAACUCUGUCUUAAACAUGUAAACCAAAAAUAUCCUGAAAUCAAAUGAUCAAAAUAGUAACCGGCUGUAUCUGUCAAGAUAAACACGGAGAACUUAAUUCCACAUGUAAUUUAAGUAUACAACUUCUUUGUUCAAAACCAUGACAAAAUGUCAACAGACUAUGGCACGAUAAAUUCAAAUGCCCGCGGCAGAAUAGUUUUACUAGGAACUAAAAAAUAAUAAUAUUCUUCAAGACGAGAUAUAAAAGCAUCAUACCACAAGAUAAAACACAAAAUCUGCUCUACUUCUCUUACUAGCUAUUAUAAACAACAGGAGCAAAGAAUAUGCUUACUUCGUUCCGUCCAUGAUAUUAGGUGCGUAAAGUUUAGAUGCUACUAGAUCCGAUAGCAGUUCGGGUACCCUGCUUCACAAUCCUGGCCUCGCUCUCAUCGUUCAUGAGGGCACAUUGAAGUGAAACAGCCAGGAGAUCACAAAUGCAAAAACCAUACAGGCCAGCAAGAAAUUCAGAAAUCGAUGACCCUGCCAGAAAUUUCGAGACUCUGAUGGAGGUGCUGGUGCUGCAGCUGCACUGGGAGCCUCGCUUGGUUCAUUCCACUGCUCCAACAACUCUGCUUCAUUUGCACCGGCAACAUUUUGUGCAAUUGAUCCACAUAUCUCACAGGUUCUGGACAGGAGGAUUUUUGAUAACCAAAAAUGCAAAACUAUAGACCAAAGAAUUAUCUAGCUUAAAGCUCCUAAUGUCCAACACUACACAUUGGCAGGAAUGGACCCUGUUAAAAAAAUUCAGACUCAAAUUGAAAAAGGGAGGAAUGGGGGAAGGGGUUGUACGCCAACAAUAUCUCUUGAAUUCAACUUGAACGCUCAAACACCAAUGACUCCUUUUGAGGUUGCUACCAGACAAAUCAUACGCCUGGAGAUGCAUAGCCUUGGUGGGCUCAGAGAACGUUUAUAUUUGCUUGAGGUAGACAGGGCAUAAGAUUCAUAAUCAAAAGUUUCAUAUUUCCUAGUGAGGUACUUCCGAAGUAGGCAAACAUGCUACUUGUGACUUAAUCAAAUGACAUAAUUAAGAUAACGAUGGAACGCUAACAAAUUUCAUUCUUCCCCUUAUUCUCUCAUGUUGAAAGGGAAGAAAACAAAGCAGAGAAUAACAAGGACUCGGGAGGAUUUACACUCCCUGACAGCCUUUUGGACAUUUUGAACUAGCAUUGACUUAAAAAGCUUGCGAGAAAUGUAGUACAUAGAACACCAUGGUUAAAGAAGUUAUCCCAAUUCGUGGCCUAUUAAUCCAUAUUCCAUAAGAUUAUAAUAUCGAUUAGUUACAAAAACUAUAUGAACCAGAAAAUUAGCAUUUUACAAUAUUCUUCCAAAUUAUGUUUACAAAUUUCUCCAGGGCUUAUUACUUGUACAUACUGUCCUUUUUUUUUUUUAGCAUUUAACAUAAUCUUGAGAAGGAAAAGAGCCGUUAAAGCAAUAGCUAUGUAAAACCUACUAGAUUCCACAAAAAUAUGCUAUAACCUAGAUCAGAUUUUCACUUUAACAUCAGUGAAGAUUUCUUGAGCAUGAAGUAUGCCAAAGAAUGGAAGGAAAUAUAAAAGGGGUAGGAUGAGAAUCCACUACUCUGACAAAGAAGUUAAAGUAGACGACUAUAAUGGAAAAAAUGGGUAUGGACUAAGAGAGAGUGACAACACGGUGUGUACCAUUACAAGAUAUUAUCCAAAAGACGGCUAUGCUUUGUGUGGCAAAAACACAUGACAAUAAAGUUCAAGGCUCCACAUUUACAAUGAUAGGGUAAAGGAAAAUGGUUUGGCAAAUCAAAAGUAGAGUAGGCUCAUAACAAAACCAAGUGGAAAAGCUAUCUCCGUUUGCCAUCUUAUUACAGCUUCACAUGUUCUGAUUUUCUUUAAGCAAAUUGUUGGACUUGCUCCAUGGCCAACCAUUGCAGAGGCACCAGAAGACCAAAAUGUGUAACUGUUUGAUACUUCAAACUCUCUUUACGGCAUCCUAAACUGCCACAAAAAUACUAACCCCAACCUAAAGGAGAACUUAACAGAAUCUAAAAGCCGACCUCCUCUCUUAUGGAGAAGAAUGAAAUGACUCAACAACUCAUUGACAAGUUUCCCACCUCACCUAUAGCCUACACAAGAAAGUAGAAAAUGUUGAGUCCAAAUAUUUACCAAAGUCCAACAAACUGGAAGAAAUGAAGAAUUUCUCUUUCAUUCUUUGGUAUUCCAUCUAAGUAACAGACUUGACAAACUUGAACCUGAAGGAAUAUGACAUUUCAGCACUUAGUGAAAAAGAUUGUAUGCAGUCCAUGCCUUGUACAUAAAGCUUAGGAGAUUCGAGGCAUGAAUCCAAGUAAAAGGCGGAUAUGAAUAGAGGAAUCACAGUACAAGCUAAGUGGUGGAUUUCCCUCUCAAGAAGAAAUCAUGAUGCAGUCGGACUCCAAAGUGCUUACAUUUUUUCCUUAUUAUUAUUAUUACUUUUUAAAUUUCUUUACAUUAACGCGGUCUGUUUUGCAGUAUCCCCCCACCCCAACUUUCUUUUCCUUUUCCCACAUCACAUAUUCCAUAAGCCUCUAACUUCAUGUAAAAAGCAAAGUCUACCACUAUUUUUUUUUACUUUUCCCCUGGAUUUUUUUGCUAUAGCCGAUAGUCCUUCGACAGAAUCUAAGAAUACCCAGGAAUUUUCAAAGUUAUAUUAUAUAAAACGUAAUUACACUAGUUCAAUACUCGGACAGAGACUUGUAAACACAAUCACCAAGAAAUUCCACACGCUACUGAAAAGAGGGGGAAGAAGAAAAACUCUGCGUUGCAACUGUAACCUUAAAAAUCUAAAACUACACAAGUAGACAGAAAUACUAACAAUGAGAGAAGCAAAAUUCAUAGAAAUAUAGAUCCACAGGUAAAAGAAAAAUACUUGGCAGGGUGACUUACUUGUUCCCCUUGAUCUUGAACCAAGCCUCAGCACAUUGUUUGUGAGCAGCAGCCAAAUCAUCCUUACAAGAACAACCUAAAUCAAUAGGAAGCCCAGAUUCUCGAUUGGCAGCAUCUAAGCUGAGGUGGCAAAUCCUGCAAUCCCUCUCACUUCCGGGCAAAUGUACCUCGGUCUCUUGACCCCCAGCUUCCAGAUCCACCACGACUGAACAGUCUGAAACGGAGGAUUCUCCCCUUUUAUGUUUGUUGUCCAACACCCCAACAAUCUCAGUCCCAGAUAUACUGGAAGAGACCUUUUUCUCCUCAUUCGAUGACUUAUCAUUCACAUCAGAAAAGCACAAAGAACUACUGCUACCUCCUCCAUUCUCAACAGGGGAAUGGCGGCGACCUUCAAAGCCGCCAUCAUCGCCAGCACCAUGACCAGAUUCCAAAUCAACACUGGACUGGUGCAAAGUUGCCAUAUUUGCAAACGCCCAGAUGGAGAAUCCUCAUGUAAGCGCGAUACAAAACCAAGAUCAUGAAUGUAAAGCAAAGAUUGAAGCUUUCUUUCCCUCUCAAUCAGUGUUCUUCUUUCAGUUCCUGAGCAGGUAAACGUGGUGAGGCUAAAAAGUGGGCUCUUCCCUCUUUUGUCUAUCAGCCCACGGACAAUAGUACUGGGGAGGUAGCCAGAGAUAGCUCCAAAAGAGAUCACGGCAGAAAAAAAACACUUCAAAGAAAAAGGAUUGAUGCCGUUGAAAACUGGAACAGACAACUACUGAGAAGCCUAUUAUUCACUGUUUGCUUGCUUCCUUGCCAUUCCUAGCAGCACACUAUUUUGCUAUUGAUUAUCUUGACAACUAACAUUGGUAACUUUUCGAUGCACUUUGCACAGGUCACGUUACUUGCUUUCGCGGGAGGUAAAUAUCACCUUUAAGGCUUCAAAUGCAGGUUGAUGGUGCGACAGUAUUAAUUGCACCCAACAUAAAUAGUAAGUAGUAGUAAUAAAUAAGGAAAGAAGAGAUUUUAGCGGAGAGUUUGUGCAAAAGAAUCGGCUGAAUUAGAGAAGAAACGCCUAUAAAAAUGGGGGUUAAGCUUCUAUACUCUUUGCCCGCAUGGGAUCGCGGGCUGAGGCAUACAGCAUUUCGGCCUGUGUAAGCUGCUUAAAAUGUAAAGAAAAUGAAAAAAAAAAAAAAAAAAGAAAAAGAGGGUGUCAUUGUAUGAAUUUGUUUUAUACAGACAUCUUCUAAUUUGGCUAAUUGGAAUUCUCCUAUUUUAUUAAAAAAGAAAGCCCUCUCCGGGAAUAAGAAAAUAAAAAGGGGACUAUGACUAGUAAUUUUGUUGUGUCCCUUUCUUGAAAUUUUCACCAUACCAAACUAGCACAACUGUUUAGUAAUCAGUGCUAGUAGUGCUGCUUGAAUUACGUUGCCGACUAUGAAAAGAUGGUUUAUCUGCUGUGUGCUCAAGUCUCAAUUCACCCAUCCAGUAAUGGUAAAUUUGUCCUGACGCAGCAAAAUUAGACGUAAGUGCUAGUUCAGAAUUUUUUGUGGCAAUUAGUCCAAUCUAAUUUGUUUUUCUAGGCGAAUCUAAUGAUUUUGUUGCGUCUUUCUCUACCUUUUGAUACCUUUUCUCUUUUUCUCUCUUUUUUUUUUUUUUGGUUGGGACUUGGGAGAUUUCUACAUUUUGUUUGUUAUUCGCAUGAAAAUCCUAAAGACCGAAGGGGCGUGUAAGAAAAUUGCUGAUGUUGAUUGAGUGAGGUAGGGAUAAUUUUUCUUUCAAAAAGGUUAAAGAAAAUGUCUAGCUGUUACAGAACUUGGAAAUACUCAUACAAAAAACUUGGGGGGUCUUUAUCUCUUAGCAGCGGGGCACCCUGUGGGGUUAAGUUCCCACAUCGCUUGGGGGGGUUUGGGGGGUUUAGUAGUUAAGUGCUGCGGAGCACUUCAAAAGUUGCCGGCUUUUGAAGUGUCUUCGCAGAGUCCAUUUAUCGAAACACUCAUACAAAAAACUGUGAGUUAUGAAAGGGUUACAGAACUUGGAAAUACAGUAGUGUGUUGGAUCCUUUAAAACUAUGUCAUGAUUUCACACUUAUCAUUACGAAUCAUCAAUUGUAUCAAUUUGCUCCCUUAAACUUUUUAAAUUUGCAAGAUUAGUUGUUGACAGAAAUAUCACUUUUUUUUAAAUUUAGAAAAAAAAAAAAAAAAAAGGGAUUGCAGACUGCUGUAAGUACACAACUUGCUCAUUUUCAAAUCUACUAUAAUAUGAACAUGGAAAAUCGAGUAAUUGACCAUUGCGUAUUCAAAUCGUGGGACUAGGACCCUUUUCUUUAUCACGUAAAAAAAAAGUUAGAACUUUUUUUUUUUUUUUUUUUGGGUCAGACAAAAAGUUAGAAAUAUUUAGCUGCUACUAGAGGAUUAGGACUACCGUCAUUUCCAUAUGAAAGGAGAUGCUCUAAAUAUUGUGAAGAAAAAAAACAGCGCAGAUCAUUUCCAUUGUAUCAGGUCCAAGCUACUAAGCUAGCAGAAUUUGGCUUUAUUAAAGCCUCACGUGUGAAAAAAUCAAACAAUGUACCUGCACAUUUGUGGUCUAAAACGUCGGUAUCAGUCGAGGGAAGUAGAGUUUGUUUUGUAAACUUCCCAUGGAUGUAAUCAACUCUAUGACAUUGGUGAUCCAAGUUGAGCAAAAGCAUGGUUUUCCUUUUAAAAAAUGGGAUAAUUUCUUCAAACUUUUCCGAGCUAUCUAACAAUUUUAUUGAGCUCUCUUGAAAUUUCAAAAAUUACACAUUCUUCCUCUAAUUGACACUUUAUAGCCAAACUUUAGAUUCGUUAAAAAAUUUAAAUGAAUAUCUUAAAAUACUCCCAUUUUAUAAAGUUCACUACUUUCUAAAGCAAUAGCAAUAUAUUUAGCACAUGUAUAAGAAAAGAUUGUCAAGUUCUCAAUGCCAAUAAAAAUCUAUUGUUUGAUAAGCAAUUAUGACAAUAGUUCUAUUACUGUGAUAAAAUAUUUAUCACUACCAAAAUUAUUCUUUCUAAAUUGGAGAAGAAAGUGUCAUCAUGAUGCCUUAGAGUUGAUAGAUUUUUGGUUUCGUGAAACUAUCAGUUUGAUGCUAGUUUUGUGCUCGUUUUUUUAGUCAGUAUUGCUUUUAAUACAAAAAAAAAAAGAUUGACAAGAGAAAAAUUGGAUCACGUUAAGAGUUCUCAAAAAGAAAAGUCACUAGUUUAACAUUUAGGGUUAGUGUUUACAAUUACAUAGGAUUAUUGGCAAAAAAAAUAAAAUAAAAAAGGAGGAAGAAGAAGAGAAAAGGAAAAAAAAUAAUUAUAAAUCCCAUUAUUUGUGCAUGCAUACCCAAUAAGGGAUUUUUAUUAAAAUGUUGAGGUUAGUAUUGUUAUUUUAAGAGGACAAGAGAAGUAAGUAAAAUUUUUAAAAUAUCAUGAGAUCUAAGUAAAAUUAUCAGAAAUCUCAAGGGAGGCAUAUGAAAUUAUCACUUCGAAAAAAAAAAAAGGAAAAGGAUUAAGACUACCGUCUUUGACUAGCUGACCGAUGAUACAAAUUCAGAAGAAUUUUUUGGACGGACCAAAAGCAAAAGUAGGAGGCGUAGGAGUAGGAGUAGUCCUACCAGAUUCCUUGCAAAGGGUUUCAGAGGGGGACACUGAGGAGAGUCAGGACUGAAUCUUUUUCCCUCUGGACAUUUUUUUCCCACGGAAAUGAAAUUUGUUUAAUUAAAUCUAAUCCCAGAACAGUACUCAAAAAUCGGCAACUCUUGAGCAUGUCCCAGGGACUAACUACCCAAAUCCCAACCCCCCGAGACCGAUGUGGAAUAGAAACCCCGACAGGGGCCAAGCCCGAUGACCCGCUGCUACUAAGAAGUGAAGACCCCCCACGACCCACGCAUUAGCGACCACAGCGAAAGUUUCUUGUUUUUUGCGCGUGCAAUUGCUUGCAUUUUUUCUUUCUCACGAAACGAAAUUUGUUUAAUUAAACCUAAUCCCAAAACAGUACUCAAAAGCCGACAACUCUUGAGCAUGUCCCAGAAACUUAAUUACCCAAAUCCCAACCCCCGAGAUCGAUGUGGGAUAGAAACCCCGACAGGAGCCACCCUCUGGACAUUGAUAGUGGUUGAUACUUGAAACCAAUACCCGGGCAAGGGCCGAGCCGCCAAAGGGGUUGGUAUGAUUGGCCUAUGCAAUAAUCAACUGCCGUUCAUUUGUAAUGCUCAUUUACCCACUUGUCCACACUCCAGUCGUUCAAUUUCAAGAGGGGGAUCGGUGGAACAGUGGCAGUGUGUCCCUUUGAAGUUUCAACACGUAUUUGGUAAAUGUUUGGUAAAGUCUAUAUCGCAUUUAUUUUUGCUAAUUAGGGUAGCGGUUGCAAUUGUGCUCCAAUGACUAAAAAUAGAAGUGACAUUUCAAAAGACUCUCCGAACCAACCAAUUGAGAAAGACUCCCACUUUCUUUUUCCCUGUGUUUUCAAACUCGGACCGGACCGGCCAGUCCGACCGGUUGAACCGGGAACCGGUCAAGUGUCCGGUCCGAGUUGGUCAUCAGAACCGGGAGAUUCAAGACCCGGUCAACUCCGGUCAAAAAUCGGGUUUGACCGGUACAAAACCGGAAAAACCGGUCCAACAGGAGUUUUUGUAAAAAAAGUUCAAACUUUUUUAAUAUUAUGUUUUGACCCCCUAAAUUGUGAAAACUUAUUAAUAUACCUCAAAUAUUUCAUACUUUAUAAAUAUUGUCCUAAAAUUUGAUGUUAUUUUUCAAUUAAAUCCAUAAUUUUAAUUCUAAACUUGUUAAUGUUUAUUAAAUAAUUUAAAUUGUUAUUUGAUUGUUCUAAUUUCUUUGUAUUUUCUUGUUAAAUAUAUUUGAAACAUCAAAUAUAUAUGAAUAUACCUUUAUUAAUAUCAAUAUGUUAUUGGAUAUUUUAUAUACAAUAAUUUAAUUUUUAAAUAAUUUUUAUUUAUGACGUCAUCCGGUUCGACCCCUAUCGACCCCCGGUCGAACCCAUUGACCCCUGACCCCUGACCUCGACCGAGUCGAUAUCCGGUCCGGUUCUGAAAACAUAGCUUUUUCCACGCCCUCAAGGAAACCCUUGGGGCUUGUUUAUAUUGCAUUUUUUCACUGCAAAAUUUAUACAUUUCAGGUCAACAUAUUUUCAAUCACUUAUAAAAAACUUCUUAAAAUUGUAAUCUAAAUGGAUUCUUAAAUUUUUGAUAACUGUCAAACAUCUUUUCUUUUCUAUAUACAAAGCAUGAGGCUUCUUUUUAGUGUUAAAAUUUUUUUAUCAUUAUUUAAUAUUCCAAUUUUAUCAUUAAAUAAGAAGGAUAUAUAUAUAUAUAUAACCACAAUAAUUAAACUAAGAAUACUUAUUCAAUUAGAAAAUCAUUCAAAAUAUUUAUCACAUUUUGUCAAAUGAAUUUUUUUGUCACUCACUUUUAAAUGCUAACUUUACAUCCCUUAUAAAAUCAGAUCAUCUAAUUUUAGUCCUAACUUAAGUUUUAAACCAUUUUUUAACAUGAAUCCAUUAUAUGACCCAAGUCAUUUUUUUAGGAGCAAAAAUGAAUGUAGGUCGGGUAAUUGUUUACUGUAAAUCUUUUUUAGGGGCAAAAAAUGAAUGUGGGAUGGAUAAUUUUUUUUUUUAACUACAAAUGACCACAUGCAGGUCGUUUUUAACUACAAACGUGGGUUGGAUAAUUUUUUUUGUAACUAAAAUCUUUGACUUUUUUGCACUUAAAAGAUGACCAUAUGUAGGUCAAAUGGUGAUUCAAUUUGAGAAAUGGUCGGAAACUUAAGUUGGAACCAAAAUUGGCUGACUUGAUCUUAUAAGGGAUAUAAAAUCAAAAUUUUAAAAGUGAAUGACGAAAAAAUUCGUUUGAUGAAAUGUGAGGGAUUUUUUGAACAAUUUUUCCCUAUUUAAUUUCAACAACUUAUUUUAACUUCUUUUAUUGUGACUUCUAAUAACUUCCUUUCAAAAUAAAUUUUGAAUAGCCUUUUUUUUUUUUUUGCAAUUCUAACUUCUAAUAAUUUCACCCUUUUGUAAAAAUAAAGUUGAACAAAAACUCCUACCCUUUUAUUGUGAAAAACUUUGUUUUUAAUUUGCGCACCCAUAGGACGUGUCUUUCCCUCAAAUUUGUACUAUAUGGUUUUGUGAAAUAGUAGUGGGUUCACAACCGGAGCUAAAUAGUAGUGUCUUUGUUGCCUCUUUACGGCAUAGAUGCCUUGUAGGGUUAAUGCACUAAACUCUCAUAAAUUUUAUUAUCAGUUGCACUUUGUCCUCUCCUGAGCAGUUUGUCCCCUACUAUUAUUCUAUUUUUUCUCUUCGUUUAUUCAUUCCUUUGUUUGUUUUUUCCUAUUACUUUCUAUUCCUUUUUAUGUUAUUCUUCUUUCAUGUCACUAGUUCUUUCACUUUCCUAUAAGAUUACUAAUUGUAUGCUUAUUACAAAAUCGUAAUUUUCUUUUACUUCUAAUUUCAUUCUUAUCAUAAUGUCCUUUAACUUUGAUCUCAAAUGCAAAUUCAUCAUGUUAUCUUAUCCCAAAAACGAGGGCAAGAAAUGAUUACCACAACUUGCAAAUAUUGCACUUUAAAAAAAAAAAAAACAAUGACCAUCAAAAUGAAUCGUCUUAAAUGUAUCAGAAAAGUCUCUGUUAAAAGUUAAAACGCAUAGCAGCAUGUACCAAAAAAGUUAAGAAAGCACAACUACCUAGCAACUUAAGCAAGGUGCUAGCCAUUGAAUAGAAGUUUCAAAUCAUUGCUAACCUUAGAAAUCAAGUUUCUAUGGAAGAAGCCAAUAUAUUAUCAAGUUUCUAUGGAAGAAGCCAAUAUAUUCCCCUGGUAUAAGACAAGAAUAAAUCAAGAAGAAUGCCACCUCGGUGGCAGCUAAAAAGAAACACAAGACUCAGAAAAACUAAGGUAAAAGGAACCUCAGCAGGUCAAUUUUCAGAAAAGCAAUAAAGCAUCAGGAAUCCAAUCUCAAGCAAGGACAUGAUCUCUUCUCCGAAAACAACAUAGGCUCUAUACAAGAUUGUAUAAUCCUAGCCUGCCAUAAUCCAGCAGAUGAACUUGUACUCAGUUUAAUGAAGCUAUUAUCAUUUCCACUUUAAAUUUAAGAGAGAGAGAGAGAGAGAGAGCUUAUAACAUUAGCUCUAGCCUUCAAAUUCAGCUUGAAAAAAUACACGUUGGCAAAGGCAUCUUGGCUGGAAACACAUUUGUCAUGAUUCCUCUUGAUUGGUGCUGUACCUUGUCAAAGUGCAAGGGCUGCAACGCAUGUUCAUGAGCAUUCAUUUGCACAGGGACAGUCCGAGGCACCAUUGGGCCACUAGCUGUUUCUGGUACUCUCAAUGAAUUCUCAAGUCCACUUUUAAUCCAGGCAAUGUUGUUCAAGUCUGUGGCUAUGGCAGCCAAUUCAUGACCUGAACAGGGGGGAAGUUCUUCAUAUUCAACAAAUUCAGGUCCCAACAAUGAGCUCUUCUUCAAAGAAGAGCCCAAGCCAG
This 27422-nucleotide long non-coding RNA is filed under the name Coffea arabica (coffee). Its description in RNAcentral is "long non-coding RNA (CARA_LNC000905)". Lineage: Eukaryota; Viridiplantae; Streptophyta; Magnoliopsida; Gentianales; Rubiaceae. The record is from RNAcentral.